UACGUAGGUGGCAAGCGUUAUCCGGAUUAACUGGGCGUAAAGGGUUCGUAGGCGGACUGUUAAGUCAGAUGUGAAAUUCUGGGGCUCAACCCCAGCGCUGCAUUUGAUACUGGCAGUCUAGAGUGCGGGAGAGGAGAGUGGAAUUCCUAGUGUAGCGGUGAAAUGCGUAGAGAUUAGGAAGAACACCAGUGGCGAAGGCGACUCUCUGGACCGUAACUGACGCUGAGGAACGAAAGCGUGGGGAGCAAACAGG
This 253-nucleotide ribosomal RNA is filed under the name uncultured bacterium. RNAcentral describes it as "partial 16S ribosomal RNA". It matches the Rfam family "Bacterial small subunit ribosomal RNA", at positions 524 to 776 of the family's 1533-position model. The record is from RNAcentral.